UACGUAGGGGGCAAGCGUUGUCCGGAUUUAUUGGGCGUAAAGAGCGUGUAGGCGGCCACACAGGUCUGCUGUGAAAACUCGAGGCUCAACCUCGAGCUGUCGGUGGAAACCGUGUGGCUAGAGUCCGGAAGAGGAGAGUGGAAUUCCCGGUGUAGCGGUGAAAUGCGCAGAUAUCGGGAAGAACACCCGUGACGAAGGCGGCUCUCUGGGACGGUACUGACGCUGAGACGCGAAAGCGUGGGGAGCGAACAGG
This 253-nucleotide ribosomal RNA is filed under the name uncultured bacterium. RNAcentral describes it as "partial 16S ribosomal RNA". It matches the Rfam family "Bacterial small subunit ribosomal RNA", at positions 524 to 776 of the family's 1533-position model. The record is from RNAcentral.